Molecule: transfer RNA, 72 nt
Filed under: Heterocephalus glaber (naked mole-rat)
Lineage: Eukaryota; Metazoa; Chordata; Mammalia; Rodentia; Bathyergidae
Rfam family: tRNA
About the family: Transfer RNA (tRNA) molecules are approximately 80 nucleotides in length. Their secondary structure includes four short double-helical elements and three loops (D, anti-codon, and T loops).
Source: Rfam by way of RNAcentral
GGGGGUAUAGUUCACUGGUGGAGCACUUGCCUAGUAUGUGUGAAGACCUAGUUUCAAUUUCUAGUACCACCA